UACGUAGGGGGCAAGCGUUAUCCGGAUUUACUGGGUGUAAAGGGAGCGUAGACGGCAUGGCAAGUCAGAUGUGAAAGCCCGGGGCUCAACCCCGGGACUGCAUUUGAAACUGUCAGGCUGGAGUGCAGGAGAGGUAAGUGGAAUUCCUAGUGUAGCGGUGAAAUGCGUAGGUAUUAGGAGGAACACCAGUGGCGAAGGCGGCUUACUGGACUGUAACUGACGUUGAGGCUCGAAAGCGUGGGGAGCAAACAGG
Molecule: ribosomal RNA, 253 nt
Filed under: uncultured bacterium
Lineage: Bacteria
Description: partial 16S ribosomal RNA
Rfam family: Bacterial small subunit ribosomal RNA
Source: RNAcentral